CGCGGGGUGGAGCAGCCUGGUAGCUCGUCGGGCUCAUAACCCGAAGGUCGUCGGUUCAAAUCCGGCCCCCGACGG
RNAcentral lists this transfer RNA (75 nucleotides) under Klebsiella grimontii. RNAcentral describes it as "tRNA-Met". It matches the Rfam family "tRNA". Rfam says of the family: Transfer RNA (tRNA) molecules are approximately 80 nucleotides in length. Lineage: Bacteria; Pseudomonadati; Pseudomonadota; Gammaproteobacteria; Enterobacterales; Enterobacteriaceae. The record is from RNAcentral.